AUAUAAAAUAAGCAACGAAUCGCAAAGCCACGGAUCUAAAGACGUAAAGCAGUUGUCCAUGAUAGCCGGGUUGCCAUA
This 78-nucleotide non-coding RNA is filed under the name Candidatus Omnitrophota bacterium. RNAcentral's name for it is "Omnitrophica WOR c-di-GMP sequence". It matches the Rfam family "c-di-GMP-I riboswitch aptamer". From Rfam's summary of the family: GEMM was predicted in a large-scale screen for bacterial structured RNA regulatory elements. Lineage: Bacteria; Pseudomonadati; Candidatus Omnitrophota. The record is from RNAcentral.